GUGGUGAAUCCUCCAGCUCAACUGGAGAACUGCCAUGGAUACUGGGUGUCUCGAGGGUGGUAGGGGUAUGCGGAACUAUCGGUGGAGCGGUGAAAUGCGUUGAUAUCGAUAGGAACUCCGGUGGCGAAGGCGGCAUACUGGACCACAUCUGACGCUGAGGCGCGAAAGCCAGGGGAGCGAACGGGAUUAGAUACCCCGGUAGUCCUGGCCCUAAACGAUGGGUACUAGCUAGUAGGGUUCACAUGACUUUACUGGCGAAGCAAAAGUGAUAAGUACCCCGCCUGGGGAGUAUGGUCGCAAGGCUGAAACUCAAAGGAAUUGACGGGGGCUCACACAAGCCGUGGAACAUGUGGCUUAAUUUCNAGGCUCCCCCAAAAACCUUUUCCUAGGCUUGACAUGUGCGAUAGCGUUUAGCGGUAACUACCGACAUCGGAUAGCUGAUUCCUCGCAAGAGGAGGACUCAUACAGGUGCUGCAUGGAUGUCGUCAGCUCAUGUCCCUGAGAUGUCGGGUUAAUUCCCUUUACGAGCGAACCCCUUAC
RNAcentral lists this ribosomal RNA (540 nucleotides) under uncultured Zavarzinella sp. RNAcentral describes it as "bacterial SSU rRNA". It matches the Rfam family "Bacterial small subunit ribosomal RNA", at positions 591 to 1108 of the family's 1533-position model. The record is from RNAcentral. Lineage: Bacteria; Pseudomonadati; Planctomycetota; Planctomycetia; Gemmatales; Gemmataceae.